AUAUCUCUCUGUACGGGAAGGAUGAGAAGCUUCGACUAAGGUUCGAUUCGAGCGCAGCGAGAAAGCGUUGCCGUAGGCAACGACCCGAAGGGAGAAGCGCGCAGCGCUGAGUAAUCCUUCCCCCGUCAUCC
RNAcentral lists this small RNA (131 nucleotides) under Salmonella enterica. Its description in RNAcentral is "RtT sRNA". It matches the Rfam family "RtT RNA". From Rfam's summary of the family: This family represents a bacterial cis-regulatory element known as RtT RNA. The exact function of RtT is unknown although it is thought that it may be involved in changing the cellular response in relation to amino acid starvation. The record is from RNAcentral. Lineage: Bacteria; Pseudomonadati; Pseudomonadota; Gammaproteobacteria; Enterobacterales; Enterobacteriaceae.